Molecule: long non-coding RNA, 136 nt
Organism: Alosa sapidissima (American shad)
Lineage: Eukaryota; Metazoa; Chordata; Actinopteri; Clupeiformes; Clupeidae
Exons: 3
Source: RefSeq, a predicted model, not a curated record
GUUCUGUAAAAGAGAUCUCUUUACAUGCUUGAACCGUUCUCAUUCUAGUCAUCUCAGUUUAGCCCUUUUUUGAUUUACAAGAGAGAUCUCAGCAAAGGCUUAUACAAUACUCAGACUUGCUCAAUUUAUAUAGCUC